Long non-coding RNA from Etheostoma spectabile (orangethroat darter), 129 nucleotides. RefSeq lists it as uncharacterized. Lineage: Eukaryota; Metazoa; Chordata; Actinopteri; Perciformes; Percidae. The record is from RefSeq and is a predicted model, not a curated record. The transcript has 4 exons.
GGUUGAAAGUGUACCGACCAGGGUACACAAUUAGCACCAUCCACCAGCCAAACGCUGGUAAAAUAUGUAUGUGGCUGGUAGAUUUGAUUCACCCACCAGCCUAAAAAGCAAUUGUAACUAAAUGAGUGG